UGAGAUUGGCGGGAAACCUUGGGCCCCCGAGUGCCGGCAGCUAUUGAGAGAUGGGGGGCGCCCACACUGCAAAAUCGCCCUUUUUGGAUCUUCAGGGAUAUUACCUAUGCAGAAUCCCACCGGUUUCUCGCCCUUGGGCCGGAUGUAACUGAAAUACCUGGACACGACAGCUACAGUUCGGGGUGAUCUAGUGAGCCCCUCAACGUCCAUAGAGAUUUGGGAGUGUGGUGUGUGACUGUGAGAAGAACGACUUGUGUGUGUCAACCAUACUCUUCUUUGAAAUCCUUUUCCAUAGUCUCCGAAGAACUCAUCUUUCAACGUGCUGUUGUUUUUGCUCAUUAUUUUUGUUACUGUUCCCCCACUAGAUUUUGAACCCUUUGAAGGCACUACUGUCUUUUAUGUGCUUUCAGAAAAAUGCACGAAACCUGGUAGAUUAGGCUGUUGAGGAAAAAAUAAACAUUUGCCUCUGAAACACAUACCCUCUCUUUUGAGGGUGUCUUUUGCUAUAUUCCCAAAUGAAAUUGUUUAGGACAACUCUGCAAACAGUUGCCAACCUAACGUUUACCUACUGCCAAUGAUAACUUUAUUUUCUUUAUAAAGAAGAAAGGAUGAGUUCCUAGACUCAGUGCCUGAUUGUUCACUUUCUUUAUACCUUCACCAGUACCAGAUGUGGUGGCAAUUAAUACCUUGGAGAGAAAAAAAAUCCUGCCUCCCUCCCCCAGCUUUCCCCACCCAAAGAGAUACGUGCAUUUUCUCUUCCUUAAGAAACAGAACUGGAGAGACAAAAAAAGAAAAACCCCAUCAGCAAGAGCAGAAACUAAGACAGAAAGAAAGCAGUAUUCAGACUUUCUGAGUAAGCAGAAACCAUGAAUAAACAAGAACCCUGAGCAAACAAAAGCCACUAGACAGCAAAAAGACACUCAGAGUAAUGACAAGUGAUAGAAGAUAGCCAAGAAAACAUUAGAUUCUUAGGAGAGAGAGUCAAUGGCCAGGCUGGGAUGCAAGGUCCACCCUGGAGCCAAGGUGGAGCGAGCUCCUGUGUGACGGAGCAGGAGAAUGGUGCUAGCAGGCGGUGUCUACAGGUGUGCAUCAGCGCUGAGUUCAGAUGGAAUCAGUACUGUGGAUGCCGCAAUCACACAGGAGCCAAAAUUAGGAGGGUGCAAGGAAGCCAGAGAAAGCAGAGGAAACCAGUCUGCUGAGAAAAGCAGAAAAGUGUAGCAGACGCUCGGAGAGAAGCCUGGAUGGCAGAUGAUGCAGCCACGUGAGAGAUGGAGCUGUUUCUAAUCUUCCUGUUUCAGUCCCAUCCCAGAGGGGCCUGACUGUGCUGACCCCUGCACUUUAAUGCCCCUGAAGAUUGCCAUCUGUUUCUGUGCAGAGCAGCUCCUUUUCUAUUUGUAUUGGAGUGAGCAUUUUUAUGCAUUGGGGAUAAAGAUGGUACAUUUGACUGGAAGUUUCUUGCUAUCUACUUAUCUUUCAGGAUGGAGCAUGGCAGACAAGGUACAAAAGGUGGAAAAUAUAAAUGGUUAGUGUGAAGAAGAACAAACUGGAACCACCCAAGGCAUUUUGCGUAACUUCUCUCAUUUCACCUGUAGUAUGAAGGAGGUCACUGAUGAGACUCCUAAAGGGGAAAGACUGUCCAUCCUCAUUAGUUACAGAUUCUGUAUUUGCAGAUUUGCAAACUCACAAAAACUUAUUCAUAACCACAAAUCAAUACUCUUAGAGUUCUCAAGGUCAUUUUGAAGACAUGAGCAGAGUGGUGAAACACUUGAGUUGUCAAUAUGCACGUUCCCAGCUGAGAAAAGAAAGAAAAUGCUGCUGCUUAGCUUCCAGUAUUCCUUCUACUGCAUAAUGCUGCCUUCACUACAACUUCACCAGCACUAGUGUGGGAAAUGAACAGAAUUAGGACAGAAACCAGUGCACUCCCUCAGAUAUUGGGCUUGAGCCAUGGUGUCUAAGAAUCACUUUCUGAGGAAUUGGUCUCUGUUUGACCCAAUUGGCCCUUUAAAUAAAGUGACCCAUGAUGCCUUACACUGAGUAUGAGGGUGAUCUGACUGCUCUGCCCAAACAGGAAGGGAACAUUUUAAUAUUACAAGACAAAAUAUUAUCAUCUUGUACAUCUCUAAAGAAAUCAUGUUUCUGUCACCAGACCAGCUCUUAAAAUAAGACAAAUGGAGCAGAAUAUGGAUGAUCACACUGAGAUUUGUGGAACUAGCCUUAGAGUUCCACAGAGUCAUCCAGGAACUCCUCACACAGGAGUGAAGGUACUUGGUAAGAGGCAAGCAGAAUGGGCGUCCUGCCCACCUUCAAUCAGACCAGUUCUGCUGUUAUCACUUUUCCAUAUUGGGAUGCAAUGUAAUAUCGCAAAAGGAAAAAGAUGGAGUAUAGCACUAACAUAACCUCCUGAGGGUCAUUUUAGCCUUUUGAAUGUCUAGACUGGAAUCUAACCCUACAGCCCUGUGAUUCUGGGACAUUUGUCAUAGUUGUCCUCAGUUGAUUGAGCAGUUCUUCCAGUGUCUUGGUUAUUCACUGAAUGUGCCUCAGGAACUUUGGUAGAGGUGGUGCUCUCUAGAACAAAAUGGUCACUUCAGGUAGUGAGUGAUGCAGGGGUUAUUGAGAUAGAGAAGAGGCAAGUUUCCCUCAGACACUUAUCUGCACUGUAGACAGAAUGUAUGCUGAUGAAGAGGGGAAGUCAGAUUCCUGUUGGAGAUGGUGCUGAUCAAGCCCUAGACAGCGGAAGUUGCUACAGAAAAGGAAGCUCUCACGCUGAUGAUGAAUGGGGUAAGGAGAGGUACACAGAUCUUUUGAGAAUCAUUACUUGUAGGGACUAUAUAUAUGAUUAGGAUAUUAAUAUCCUCCAUUCUGAGACUCUACUGCACUUGUCACUGAUUGGCUCACAGUGAGUCAAUAUGAUACUCUCAAAGCAAGCAGAGUCCCAUUAAAGUAUCACUUAUUUAAAUUAAAGGAGAUAACAACUUCGAAAAUCUAAAGUCAGCAUCUCAUAAGCUACAAUGUCUGAGUGAGUCACCAUUUAACAAAGACAACAAGUACAACGAAGUCCAGAUCUUCUCUUCAUUUUAAGAGCAUGCUUAAUCUCUGCUGCCCUGAGUUACUUAGUCAUCCAUCAGGAAAGAAUAUUCAAAGAAUACCCAACAUUUAUUGAUGGACCACUUUAAUCCUUACAAUAAUGAACUUGUAUAACUCAAAAAUCUCAAAAUGUCCUCUCAAAUCCAUCUUACCCCACUUCUGUAGUAACAAGGUUCCCAGUUCUUAGCUGUGCACAAGGCUGCCUAGAGCGUCCCAGCCUCCCUUGCUAUCAGGUGUGACCAUGCGACUACAUUCUUACCAGUGAUACAAGCAGAAGGGGUGUAUGGCAGCUUCAGUUUUCCUCAGAAGACAUGCCCUUUGUCUCUUCUUCAUCCUCCUGUCCUCCAUCCUGCUUCCUGGAUGCAAUGGAUGCUCCUCUGGUCACCAGCUUGGACCAUAACGGGGAGGCCCAUGCCUGAGAAUGAGGGGCAGUGAGAUGAGCCUGGGCACCUGAGGAUAGAGGAGAGCAGCUCUGGAUUUUCUACCUCAGCACUUUGCUGUGAGUGAAAAAUGAACUAUGUCAUUUUAAACCAUUUAUAGCAUGUUUCUUGCUCACAGCCAAUACUAAUGCAAACUGAUAUACCCUAUGUGUUAGCAACUAUAUUAUUCCAGUGUUUCAAAUGAGGAAAUUGCAACUUUGUCAGAUUAAAUCACUUUCCCAAAUCACCCACUCUGCAGGAGUCAGAAUUCGAACCCUGAUUUUUGCCAAAGUCCAUGUGCUUUCUUCCUUCUAAGUAUUCACUUUCAGGUGAACCCUAGGUGGGUGAUAGUUUUUGCCUUAUGUGGCUGGCAAGAGAUUUUCAGCAAGGCCCUCUCACAGUGUCUAGUCAUGAAUGUACUGCUUCCACUUUGCUCCUCUGUCAUCUUUCAAAAAUAAAAUUUA
Molecule: long non-coding RNA, 3967 nt
Organism: Talpa occidentalis (Iberian mole)
Lineage: Eukaryota; Metazoa; Chordata; Mammalia; Eulipotyphla; Talpidae
Exons: 7
Source: RefSeq, a predicted model, not a curated record